AAUGUACAUAGGCCCGAAAGCAAACGAUCUACACAUGUCCAAGAUUUAAUAUAUAUUAAAUAAAAUAAAUAAAUUAAAGUCUGAAUAGGUGAAUGUAGCAAUAUUUUCUAAAGAGAUGUGUGUAGUAGUGAAAGACAAAUCUGGUUUGCAGAUAGCUGGUUUUCUGCGAAAUAUAUAUUAGUAUAGCCUUUAUUGGAGUAUUAACUGGUACAGCACUUAAAUCAUUUUGGGGGAUUAAAAAUAAUUUUAUCAAAAGAUUUAAAUCUCGGAAACAGUAAACCAUAAGAUAAGGAGUCAGACUUAUUGCGAUAAGGUAGUAGGUCUAAAAGGAAACAACCUAGAUUGUUAAAUAAAUGUCCCAAAUUUAUAUAUUAAGUGAACAAAAUCUUUUAUUUAUUGAUAGACGAUCAGUCAGCGGGUUUGACAAUAAUCAUCUGUUAAUGGACAUGUAACAAUGUACUGAUUUGACAUAUUUAUUAGAGAAAAUAUACGGGUCUAAAUAUAUAACAGUUUAACAAAUAUAUUUAUUUUUAUAAAUAAUAAAUAUAUGGUAGCAGAAUAUAUAAUGAAAAUAUAAUAAAUAAUUAAUUAUAAAGAGAUUGCUGGCUUGAGUAACGAUAGAUAGUAUAAGACUAUCCUCCUAUUCAUAAGGUUUAACUAUAAACGAACGGUCCCUAAGAUAGAUAUAGAAAUAUAUCAUUAAUGGGUGAAAGAACAAGAAAAGUAGAAUAAAGAACCGUACUGUAAACCGACACAGGUAUGAUAAAGGAGAAUGAGACAACUACUAUGAAUGAACUCGGCAAAUAGGUAUAAAGCUUAUAGUCGUGCGACUGUUUACCAAAAACAUAGCUUACUGCAUAUUAGCAAUAAUAAGUAUAGUAAGUGAUAUCUGCCCGGUGUAUGCCUAAUAAGAUAAUUAUAUAUAAAGUAUAAUAUUUAAAAGGUGUGUUAACGGCGGUCUUAUUGUGAGGAUCCGAAGGUAGCGAAAUUCAUUGACGCAUAAUUGGUGUCCUGCAUGAAUGAAUACACGAUGCGACAACUGUAUCCAUAGUAGACUCAGUGAAAUAGCAAUUGCGGUGAAGAUGCCGUAUACCCGUAGUUUGACAAAAAGACCCUAUGCAGCUUUACUAUAUCUUUAUUCUGAUUUUAACAUUAUUUAUUUCAGUUUAUUAGGUUUUAUUUAUUUAUAAAUCAAUUGAGAUACCUAUAUUUAUAAUUAUUAAAUCUUAUCAUUUUUUAUAUUUAUAUUUAUUUAUAAAUAUUUAUUUAUUAUUUUAUUAAUAAAUAUAUGAGACAAAGUAAAGAGGUUAGUUUCGAUGGGGCGUCGACAUCAGCGAAAGCAUCUGAUGUGUCUAAUUAAUAAUCAUUAUAUUUAUAUAUAUUUUAUAUAUAAUAGUAUAUUACGUACAAUAUAACUAUAUGGCAAAUAGUUAAAUAUUUAUAAUACAUUUAAAGUAAGGAUAACAACAUAAUUGUGCGAUGAUAAUGACACAAACAAGUGGAAUUAGUACAUAAGUAGAGUGUAGUGAACAGGCAUAAACAAAUGAUAUGGAUGUCGAUAACGGAUUAAAGUUACGCUAGGGAUAACAGGGUAAUACCGCGUGAGAGUUGAUAUCGUCAGCGGUGUUUGCCACCUCGAUGUCGUCUAGACUCGUCCUCCUGGUCGCAGCAACUGGGUAGGGUAGGACUGUUCGUCCUCUAAGGAGUUACUUGAGAUGGGUUAAUUACGACGUGAGUCAGUAAUGAUUUUAUCAUCUAUGGGUCUUUACUUUUUUAUUGCCUCAAGUGUACGAAAGGAUAUUGAGGUAUUUUCCUAUGGUUUUUUGUUAUUUAUUUAUCUUUUAAUAACAUAUUUGCUAAGAAAAUUGAGAAUACAUAUUGAAAGCAUCUCAAAUAUUAAAUCCUUUAAAAAAGUUUAUAUCAUAUUAUAUUAAUAUGUAAUAGUUAUAUAAUAUUUAUUUAUAUUAUAAUACUAAUUAUUUAUAUCAUAUACCAUACAAUAUCUUAUUUAGGGAUCAUAGAUUAAUUGGUAAAUCUUUCGCUUUGCAUGC
RNAcentral lists this ribosomal RNA (2051 nucleotides) under Priceomyces castillae. RNAcentral describes it as "bacterial LSU rRNA". It matches the Rfam family "Bacterial large subunit ribosomal RNA", at positions 702 to 2925 of the family's 2925-position model. The record is from RNAcentral. Lineage: Eukaryota; Fungi; Ascomycota; Pichiomycetes; Serinales; Debaryomycetaceae.